AUUGAACGCUGGCGGCAUGCUUUACACAUGCAAGUCGAACGGCAGCGCGGGCUUCGGCCUGGCGGCGAGUGGCGAACGGGUGAGUAAUACAUCGGAACGUGCCCAGUAGUGGGGGAUAGCUCGGCGAAAGCCGGAUUAAUACCGCAUACGACCUGAGGGUGAAAGCGGGGGAUCUUCGGACCUCGCGCUAUUGGAGCGGCCGAUGGCAGAUUAGCUAGUUGGUGGGGUAAAGGCCUACCAAGGCGACGAUCUGUAGCUGGUCUGAGAGGACGACCAGCCACACUGGGACUGAGACACGGCCCAGACUCCUACGGGAGGCAGCAGUGGGGAAUUUUGGACAAUGGGCGAAAGCCUGAUCCAGCAAUGCCGCGUGUGUGAUGAAGGCCUUCGGGUUGUAAAGCACUUUUGGCGGGAACGAAAAGGACUGUGCCAAUACCAGGGUUCGAUGACGGUACCCGCAGAAUAAGCACCGGCUAACUACGUG
This 484-nucleotide ribosomal RNA is filed under the name uncultured bacterium. Its description in RNAcentral is "partial 16S ribosomal RNA". It matches the Rfam family "Bacterial small subunit ribosomal RNA", at positions 29 to 507 of the family's 1533-position model. The record is from RNAcentral.